UACGUAGGGUGCGAGCGUUGUCCGGAAUUAUUGGGCGUAAAGAGCUUGUAGGCGGUUUGUCGCGUCUGCUGUGAAAAUCCGGGGCUCAACCCCGGACUUGCAGUGGGUACGGGCAGACUAGAGUGUGGUAGGGGAGACUGGAAUUCCUGGUGUAGCGGUGAAAUGCGCAGAUAUCAGGAGGAACACCGAUGGCGAAGGCAGGUCUCUGGGCCGCUACUGACGCUGAGAAGCGAAAGCAUGGGGAGCGAACAGG
Molecule: ribosomal RNA, 253 nt
Filed under: uncultured bacterium
Lineage: Bacteria
Description: partial 16S ribosomal RNA
Rfam family: Bacterial small subunit ribosomal RNA
Source: RNAcentral